Molecule: ribosomal RNA, 245 nt
Filed under: uncultured Anaeromyxobacter sp.
Lineage: Bacteria; Pseudomonadati; Myxococcota; Myxococcia; Myxococcales; Anaeromyxobacteraceae
Description: partial 16S ribosomal RNA
Rfam family: Bacterial small subunit ribosomal RNA
Source: RNAcentral
UACAGAGGGUGCGAGCGUUGUUCGGAAUUAUUGGGCGUAAAGCGCUUGUAGGCGGCCUGUUAAGUUCCGUGUGAAAUCCCUAGGCUUAACCUAGGAAGUGCGCGGAAAACUGGCGGGCUUGAGUGCCGGAGAGGGUCGCGGAAUUCCCGGUGUAGAGGUGAAAUUCGUAGAUAUCGGGAGGAACACCAGUGGCGAAGGCGGCGACCUGGACGGACACUGACGCUGAGACGCGAAAGCGCGGGGAG